This 30-nucleotide non-coding RNA is filed under the name Mus musculus (house mouse). Lineage: Eukaryota; Metazoa; Chordata; Mammalia; Rodentia; Muridae. The record is from RNAcentral.
UGAAUAGGAAGUCCUCGUGCACACUUUUGG